Molecule: ribosomal RNA, 637 nt
Filed under: uncultured bacterium
Lineage: Bacteria
Description: bacterial SSU rRNA
Rfam family: Bacterial small subunit ribosomal RNA (bases 1-531)
Source: RNAcentral
CCUACGGAGGCAGCAGUGGGGAAUCUUGCGCAAUGGGCGAAAGCCUGACGCAGCCAUGCCGCGUGAAUGAUGAAGGUCUUAGGAUUGUAAAAUUCUUUCACCGAGGACGAUAAUGACGGUACUCGGAGAAGAAGCCCCGGCUAACUUCGUGCCAGCAGCCGCGGUAAUACGAAGGGGGCUAGCGUUGCUCGGAAUUACUGGGCGUAAAGGGAGCGUAGGCGGAUAGUUUAGUCAGAGGUGAAAGCCCAGGGCUCAACCUUGGAAUUGCCUUUGAUACUGGCUAUCUUGAGUACGGAAGAGGUAUGUGGAACUCCGAGUGUAGAGGCGAAAUUCGUAGAUAUUCGGAAGAACACCAGUGGCGAAGGCGACAUACUGGUCCGUUACUGACGCUGAGGCUCGAAAGCGUGGGGAGCAAACAGGAUUAGAUACCCUGGUAGUCCACGCUGUAAACGAUGAGUGCUAGUUGUCGGCGAUGCAUGCAUGUUCGGGUUGGACGGACGACGACUAACCGUACAAUUAAAGUACACCUCCGCCCGUCGGGGAGGUACGGUCGGCGAAGAAGUUAAAACUAACAAAUAGAAGUUAGUACGGCGUGAGACGUAGACCGAACGGACGACCGACGAGGGGAGGGUUAGGG